AACUGAUAUCUCUGUUGUACU
This 21-nucleotide microRNA is filed under the name Hydra vulgaris (swiftwater hydra). Its description in RNAcentral is "Hvu-Novel-7_3p (mature (guide))". Lineage: Eukaryota; Metazoa; Cnidaria; Hydrozoa; Anthoathecata; Hydridae. The record is from RNAcentral.